AAAAAGUCAAAUUCAAGUACUAAUUUGAACAAAAUAAACUUGUUUAAAAUUAAGUUCAAAUACAAAAAUGUAUAUUUGCCCGAUAACAAACAACCAAACCCAAAAUAAUUAGCUUGAAUUGACCCAAACUUAAUUAGAAAAAUCUUCAAACCUAGGUAAUCUGAACCUAAAAAAGCUCCAACCUGAACUUAGUUAACUAAAAGAAUAUAAUCUUCAAAAUUAGAUAUCAAUGCGGUGAGCGUGGAUCAAACACGCGACCUUCAGAUCUUCAGUCUGACGCUCUCCCAACUGAGCUAUCCCCGCCGAUGCUUUUUAGAACUGUGCUUAAAGAAAUAUAUUUUAUCUUCAUUCCCUCCAAUGUAUACCCAAAUGUCUACCAUUCGAAACCCUAGCUAUAACACUUAAUACAGGUCUAAGUGUUCUACAGACUAAAGCUGGACUCGACUUCAAUUUAUGAGUGAUACAGAUCACACUGUAAAAUAUUGAUGCCAGAUUUUCACUUAACAAGAUCAUAAAUAUUAUUAUCACAAAUCAAUUAUAUAAAACAACACAACAAUACGAUAAUUAAUCUUAAUAUUCAGGAUCGAAGUCAAAUUUAAGAGGCAGAAAUUAAAUUAUAAAUUUUUUGAAAUUGAUAUAUAUUAAAUUUUAUCAUUGUAUUAACUUAUACCUUCACAAUUUUAUAACACGAUUUUACCAUCAAAGAAUAGAAAAGGAAAGCGAUGAGAGUUCAAACCAGAACUGUCAAUGAGCAUUUUUGCAUCUUUUCCUUCGUUCUUUCGGUGACGACGACUGGUUUAGGAUUUGAAGUCAAUGACAUGUUGAAUCACUUGCGAAGAUUGACUAAGACGAAGGCGAAGGAGAUCCGAUCAUGGAAGGAGAGAAAGAGAUCAGCCGUGAAGUGUGGUCUUGCCGCCGAGAAGAACACGGCGGAGGAAGAGGAGAAAGUAGCGCCAUUGAAAUGUAUAGAUCGAAUAAGACGAGGGCGAAGGAGAUCCUAUCAUGGAAGGAGAGAAAGAGAUCGGCCGUGAAGUGUGGAGUUACCGUCGAGGAGAAGAAGAACACGGCGGAGGAAGAGGAGAAAGUAGCGCCAUUGAAAUGCGAUUGGCGCCUUCUGCCCAAUUAACCAAUUAAAUAUUUUCCCGCUUUAACAGAAAAUCUACCGGGAGCCGUUCAGUUUUUCCCUUUAAACGAUUGCUGAAAUUCAUAUUUUGAUGCAUUAUGAUGCUAAAAUUUAAAAUUUAAUUUAUGUAUUUUAAUUUAAAAUAACUUGAUAUUUUAUUUUUAUUGUGGGAUUAUUUAAAAUAGUUAAUAUAACAGUAAAUUUUAAUCCACAUCUAUAAUUCAAUUCGAUUAAUUCAAAAUCAAAUUUAUUUUAAUCUGAUUUUAUUAUAAAAAAUUCAUAGUUUAACUUUAUUUAACUUGAAUUCAGAUUUAUCUAAACUCAAAUUCACUUGAAUUCUAAACAAUUUAAAUCUAAAAUAAUUUGAAUAAAUAACCUAAAAUGAUAUAAACUCAUAAUGAAUGAAAAAAGAAAUUCAAACCUCAAAUUUGAAUAAUCCAAACUCAAAAAAACUAAAUUUUUAAAUUUUUAAAAACUCGAUCCAAAACCAAUUUAACUUAAAAUAAUCCAAAUAAAAAGUGACUGAAAUAAAAAAUAAUUUAAAAUAGUUACAAAUAAAUCCAAAAAUACACCAGCUUUAGAAUUUAAAUGAUUCAACCUCAAAACUACAAAAUUUAAAAAUACCAUUACCCCAAUUGACUCGAUGAACCAAAAAAACAAGCUAAAGCCUUAAAUCUACCUUAGUCUGAAAACCAAUAAAAACAAUAAAGAUAUCCAAAAAAAUAAAAAUAAAGCUGGAAAAAUUUAUAACCCAAAUUGACUCAAUGAAGCAACACAAAUGAAUGCUACAGCUUUUCAAAAUUUAAAUCCUAUUUGCAAUUUCUCCAAUGAGAUGCUAAAUUCAAAUUUUCAUCUGCCCUGACUACAAUUUAUCUACAGACUAAUUUUCAUUUAACAACAUUAUCAUAUUAUUAGAUUUUACAGUCGAUCGUAGCUGAUUAAAUUUUUCCUAUCACCUAGAAAUUUAGGGAGGUUGAUAAAAAUUGAAAGGAUUUAAAAAGAAAUUUAAAAACAAAAAAAAAAACCAAAGAAGAGAGUACCUAAGAGAUGAAAGUUCAAACCAGAGAGUCAAUGACGUCGAUAAACUUGCUAAGGCAACGGAGACGAAGGCAAAGAAAGCUCCGAUCAUGGAAGCAGAGAAAGAGAAUCGGCUAUGAAGUGUUGAGAGAUGAAGAGGAAGAAGAAACAUGGCGGCGGAGGAAGAGGAGAAAGUAGCGCCAUUUGAAUCAAUAUAAUUUGAUUUUACCUCAAAAAUUUCAUAAUCUGAAUUUAUCAACUUAAUCCAAAUUUACUUCAACCUAAACUAGAUUGAACAAUUAGAUAGAAACUAAAAAAUUCGAAAAAGCAACUUCAAAUAUCCAAAUUUAAAAUGACAAAAAAAUUUAUUUAACUCGUAAUGAACUAAAAAAAUAGAUAACAUUUAGUUUUCUGUUCGAACUUCUCUAAAAAUAUUUAAAUAGUAUUUGAAUUUGUAUUCGGUUAUAUAGGUUGGUAUAUUUGCUCAUGGGUCCGUCCAUACAAGGUAUGUAAAUCAAUUUUCUAAGUUUGUCUCGACUCGAAAAAUGAGUUUAUAUUUUUGCAUAUGCUUGAUCCAAUUUAAGAAAAGUAAACUCAGUGUCAACCCAAUACGUCCAUAUUUGAUUUUUUUAGAUCAAUUUUAUUUAAAAAUAAAUUUAAAAAAAAAUUAUAGUACACUAAAUGCACUAAAAAAUCACUAAAAUAUAUUUUUUUCUAACAUAUGAAAAAUACAUUGAAAAGUAUUUAUAUUAAAAACACUACCAUAAAUAUAAUAAAUAUUUUAUUAUAUUAAAAAACACAAAUAAAUAUAAUAAUUAUUUUAUUACAUUAAAUAUAAUUUUUAAAAUUUUAUAUUUUGGGUUGAAUUAUUUAAUUGGGUGAGUUUUAUUUUAAGUUUUGGAUAUUUUUUUUAAUAACAUAAUAUAUCCAGGCCGUGCUCAAGCAAAAAAAAUCUUGCUCAAGGCUCAGCCCAUAUAAAAAAUUGGCCUCAAAAUUUACUCAAGCUCAUUUUUUGAGUCUCGUAUUUUUAUCUAAACUCUCUAAUUUUUCAGGUGGGCCUUCAAUCUAGAGUGAGUGAAUUAACUCAUGGCCAAGUCUAUUCUACACUAACACCGUUAGUUUAUACUAACAUACCACAUAUAUAAAUUUCAAAAUUUUCAAAAAAAAAACCUUUAAAAAUAUAUAUAUAAUUUUUUUCACAUUAAAAAUAAAGCUAAAAAAAUUUAUGCUUUUUAAUUAAUUUAUUUACUUUUAAAUAUAUAUAUAUUUUAAUUUAUGCUCAUUACAUAGUAUAUUGAGACAUCGACACAUAUCACCAUUAAAUUAAUUAUUCGUGUCACGUCAACACAAACUAACAAUGUUAGUCUAAAAGUACCAAUUUAGAUGACAAAAUAUAAAUUUAAGUACUAACAAUGUUCAAAAGGUAAACUACAUAUUAACUCCAAAAAAAGAGAAAUUUAACCUUAAACUCGAAUAAUUCAAACUCAGAACAUAAGAGCUUUAAAAUCCCAAUUGACUCAAUACAAAACCAAUUUAACUCAGAAUUGAUUCAAUCCUAAUGUGUUGGACAGAAAAAAAAUCCUAAAGUGACUAAAAAUAAAGAAUAAUACAAACUCAUAAUAAAUUAUAAAAAAAACCCCUUGAACCUAAAUGAUUCAAACACAAAAUGUCAAAACUUGAAAUUUUAAAAACUUUAAUUAAUCCUAUGAACCGACCGAAAAAAAAAUUCAAGCCUUAAACCUAUUGUGACCCCAAUUGACUCAAUCCAGAAAAGAAUACUCAAGUCUUAGAGCUGCCCUGAUCUCAAUUAACACAAUCCAAAAAAUAAAAAAUGCAAUGAACUGGAUCGAACACUUGACUAAAAAUAAAGAAUGAUACAAAUUCGUAAUAAAUUAUAAAAAAGAAUCCAAGCCUUGAACUUAAAUGAUUCAAACUCAAAAUGUCAAAACCUUAAUUAAUUCUAUGAACCAACCCCAAAAAUAAAAAACUCAAGCCUUAAACCUACCCUGACCCCAAUUGACUCGAUCCAAAAAGGAAUACUCAAGCGUUAGACCUGCCCUGAUCUCAAUUAACCCGAUUCAAAAAAUAAAAAUUGCGGUGACCGUGGAUCGAACACGUGACCUUCAUAUCUUCAGUCUGACGCUCUCCCAACUGAGCUAUCCCCGCAGAUGCUUACUGUUCAAUUUUACAACUUUAAAUCUUAUUUGCAGGUUUUCUCCUAAAUUCAACCUCCCUAAAACUAUUGUAAUUAGAGUGAUCCAAAAUCACAACGUAGAGACAUUGAUAACACAAAACAAUAUGAUAGAACAUUAAAGCAAUCUUAAUGCAUUAUCUUUUUCUAAAAAAAAUAGAAAGAUGGAUAAAAAUUGAAGGCUUUAGAAGAAAUCAAAGAGAGUACCUUAGAGCGAUUUGAUUCGUUCUUUGGAGACGAUGGCGACUUCAAGAUUUGUAGUGUUAACAAUGCUAGAUCACUUGCGAAGACAACGAAAAUGAAAGCAAAGAAGCUCCGGUAAUAGAAGGAGAGAAAGAGAUCGGCUUUUCUGAAGUGGCAGAGAAAAAGAACAUGAUGGAGGAACAGGAGAAAGUGGCGCCAUUGAAAUGUGUUUGGCGCCUUAUCAAAUUAUUGAGAAAAAAAAUUGAAAAAUCUAAAUCGAAUUCAAAAUAAAUUCAACUUAUAAGUGAAAUAGUAAAAGCAAGAGAAAUUUAAAGCAGAUCCAAAAUCAAUUUGAUUGGUAAAUAGCAUAAUUAAAGCAAUAUUAUCAAGAAAAGGAUUGAAAAUUAAAAAUUAAUUCAACUCAUAAGGGAAAUUCAAAGAUCUAAAAUCAAUUCGAUUUAAAAAUGACGUAGUUAAAGCAAUGUUAUCGAGAAAAUAUAUUAAAAAUACAAAACCGAUCGAAAAUCGAUUCAACUCAUCAGUAAAAUUGUAAAAGAAAAUAAAAAUGGAAAAUACAGUAAACUUUGAUCAAACACACAACAGAGAGAUCGAUAAAAUUGGAAUGAUUUAAAAGAGAUGAAAAACAAAAAGAAAAGAAAUCAAAGAGAGUACCUAAGAGUUUAAUCCAGAGAACGUGAAUGAGCAUUUUUGCGGCUACUUCAAGAUUUGUAGUGUUAACAAUGCUGGAUCACUUGCGAAGAUAACGAAAAUGAAUGCAAUGAAGCUCUGAUCAUGGAAGGAGAGAGAUCAGCUUUUUUGAAGUAUGAAGUUGCAGGUUAGAAGAGAAGGAAGAAGAACAUGGCGGGAGGAAUUGGAGAAAACGGCGCCAUUGAAAUGUGUUUGGCGCCUUAUGCAUUUAAUCAAUUAAAUAUCCGUUUUAUACUUUUUUUUUAAUCUUAGAUGUUGGAUGAUUAUAUUAAAAUUCAAAAAUAUAAAAAUUAAAUCUCAACUAUCAAUGUAAAAACAUAUUCCAACCUAUGUAACACGAAAUAUUAACAUGUUAAUUUAACUGAUAAUCUAUAUUUUUUAAACAUGAUUAAAUGUAAAUUGAUCAGAUCACCGGUACAUUAAUUUAAUUGGUCUGAACAAUUCAAUAAAAUAAUUCAUUAAAAAUUUUGUAAAACUAUUUAAAAAAUAUUAAAAAUUGGUUCAACCACCGAUUUUCUAUCAAUCUAUACUAAUUCACAAAUCUACUAGUCUAAAACCUUUUUCCAAACCCGUACCCUAACCAAUUUUGAAUCCUAACAGAUCCAAUUCAAAUAACCAUAACCAAAACAAAUAUAUAACUAAAAUGCAAUAGAAGAACCGCUAAGUUUAAUACAAGAAUUGCUUCUAACCUUAAGACAUUUAGCUAAAUUUAACAAAGUUAUAAAGCAAACAGUCCGAGAAGAAACUAAAUUUAUUAGAAUAGUUUCUAGCCUCUUAAUGCACUUAACUAAAUUCAACAAAAAAAAAUACAGCAAACACCCUAAGAGGAAACUGUUCACUAAAUUUAAUAGAAGAACCGCUUCUAGCCUAUUAAGAUACUUAACCUAAGGGAAAGGAUUGUAUGAAACAGUGACGUCACGUCCUUUGUAUCUCUUUUUCAAUAGUUUUAGGUCACAUCAAUAUUUUCAUCUUGAAAAAAAUCAAAUCCAAAUUAAAAUUCUGAAAUUCAAGAUAAGAAUACUAAUAUGACAUAAAAUUACAAAGUUACAAAGCAAACACCCAAAAUUAAUGUAAUAGGGCCCAAUUGACCCAAGUCCAAAUAAAAUUAACAGUCCAACAAAUACAGGCCUGCACAAGCCCAAUACACCAAAAACAAAAAAGGAAAGGAGAACCCUAGCCCCGAAUGCACCCAGCAGCCGCAUGUCUGCCCAACUCCGCCUCCAGCAGUUCCCAGGCGCCGCACGUCUCGGAAUCGACCACCCCAUGCGCGCCGUUUGCUCCACGUUCACCUGCCAAUGCGGACUCAAAGAGUCCGAAGAGAAAAAAACAAGCAAAAUAAUUGUAUUUUUAUUUCUUUUUUCGGCCUAUAAAAGGGUCUUCUAUAAUCUGUAACGGGGGAGGGGGCAUUCGAAAAGAGACAGAAACAGAAGGUAUUCAUCAUUUUUUUUUAGAUUCGAUCUUUUUUUUUUGUUUUUAUUUUAUUUAUUUUUCGCUUAAAAUAUAAAAGCUAGGAGGAUCAUACCGGGCUUUGUCGCGGUUCAUCCCAUCUCCGUAGCGAUCGGAGACGGGGGUGACUGAGGCCGUGGAUCGGCCUGAGACGACGGCGGCGGCUGAGAGAAGGGUACAAAACCCUAGCAGACAAACAACGGCUUUUUUUUUAAAUUUUAUAAAACUGCAAAUGUUUUUAAAAAAAAAAAGGGAAAAACUGUUUUAAAACUAAAGAGUAAAACGGCGCCGUUUAAAGAGGCCAGAUCCGCGCGUUGACCCGACCCGCAAGCAGGGUCCGCGCGUUCUGGCCUUAAAUGGGGAAUUUUCACGUUUGGUCCCCAUUGUUUUAUUUUUCUUUUAAUUCAGUAUUUUAUGUAUUUUCGAUUUCGCCACGAAAUUUCUUGCCUGUUGCAAUCUGGUCCAGGGACCAUGUGCAUGCGCCAAUGGAACGGCGCCGUUUGGCCAAACGCGGGGAUAUUUAUUUCUUUGGUCCUCCCUUUUUCAUGCGCAAUAUGAUUUAGCUUUUUUUAUUUUUAUUUUUAAUUUUUGACCUCAAUUUCUGUUUAAUUUUGAUUAGGUCCCCAUUUGUUGUUAUUAUUAUUAUUAUUACUACCAUAUAUACAUACGCAUACUUUGAUUUUUUUUAUUUUCAUAAUUUUUUUUUACAUUCAUAAAUAUAUAUAUUUAUACACACAUAUAUUUUAAUUUUUAUAUAUAUACAUUAUUAUUUUAUUUUCAUAUUUUGUAAUAUAUUAUACUUAUUUUUAUUUAUAUUUUAUAAGUACAUGCAUAUAUUUUAUCAUUAUUUUCCUUUCAUAAUUUUGGCAUACAUAUAUAUAUUAACGUUUUUCGAUACAUAUAUAAAUAUACAUACACAUUUUAUAUUUUAUAACUCAAAACAUUCAUUUAUACCUUUUCUAUAAUAUACAUACAUUUUUAGUUAUUAUAAAUGCUUUUUUGUUAUUUCAUGUGUUCCAUUACUCUAUAUACGUAUUGUACAUAUAUAUAUGUAUUUGAAUACAUACGUAUGCGAAUUUUCACGAUUUAUCUAUGUAUAUACUUAUACAUUUUAUUUUUUCUAUUUUGUAAAUAUAUAUAUACAUAUGAUUUAAAUUAAAAUUUCAUGUUAUGCAUUAACCUUCAUCACACUUUCAAAAACAGAUAUUUUGGUUUUGUCAAAAUUUUUUGUUUAAAACCAUCAUAUUUUAUAAUUUUAAAUAUUUGGUAUUCAUGAUUCUCGUGAAAGAUCGGGUCCUAACUUACUGGAUCGCGAUUAUUUUUCGAUGAAUUUAGAAAGCCAAAUAUUUGUUUUGCAAUAAAUUCGCAAGUUUUAAAUAAAAAUCUUAUUCUCGGGAAUUCAAAAUGUUGGGUCCUAACUUACUGGUCAUGACAUUUUCUUCUCGAAAUAAGAAUUUUCAAAAGCAAAAGGCAAUAUUCAGGUAUUUUGGAGAUUUAAAGUGCCCUAACUCAUUGGGUGUGGUGUUCUAUUUCUUUGAAAUACGAAUGUCUUUUUAUUUUAAUCCAUUCAUGAAAUAAAAGUUUCCUUUUAAAAUAUUUUCAAAUUUUCGACACCAAGGCAUUAAAAAAAAUCAAUUUGGUACCAAUUUUGGGCGUUACGAGGGUGCUAAUCCUUCCUCGUGCGUAACUGACUCCCGAACCUGUUUUCUCAAAUUUCGCAGACCAAAAUUAUUUUUAAGGUGGGCCGAUCACACCUAAAUAAAGGAUCGAUGGCGACUCCAGUUUUUGUUUUUUAAGUCGAUAACUAAAAUUUUUGUUUUCAAAAAAACGGUUUCGACAAUUAAUAUUGCUCAAUUAGCCUAUUUCAUACACUUUCAACCGUACUAAACAUGUGUAAUUUAAUAAUUGGCCCUUCUCGCCAACUCUUCACCCAUUUACUAAAAAUAUUAGUGUAUUUAUAUUUUAAUUUUAAAUUGAGCAAACAAUGUAUCUCAAUUAACGCCUCACUCGUAUACAAGAGGUCUUAUAGCUCCUCGUCCAUACGAAAUUGGCAAGGUUCAUCUUUCUCCGUAACUCUCCACGAGAGAGUUUGCUCCUUUCAUUAUUCACCGCUAAGACAAUCGGCUCUCUGCGCCAUCUUAAACGAAGUAAAUCGACCUACUAUAACUUCCGCUUGUCUGAUCUUUGCAUCAACAAGCUUAAAAGCAAUCCAAGUUACCAAAAUGGUGUUCCAACUAGUGUGAAAAUAUGAAUAUCAAGCAAGGAGAAUAUUGAGAGCUCAAAGCAGAUCCAAAAUCAAUUCGACUCGUAAAUAGCAUAUUUAAAGCAAUAUUAACGAGAAAAAAAUUGAUCGCGACCUUCAAAUCUUUUAUCUGAUGCUCUGCCAACUGAGCUAUCCACUAUAUAUGUGUUAAAACCAUUUUUGCUGGUAUAAAUCUUAUUUGCAGUUUCUCCAAUGGUAUGCUAAAUUCAAUUUCCUUCUACCUUGACAAAAACUAUUGUACAGACUAACUCGAUUCCAAUUUAGAUUGAUACAGAUCACACCGUAGAUACCUUGAAUGCCAAAUUUUCAUUUAACAUUAUAAUAUUGUUAGAUUUUAAUAAUCGAUCGUAGCUGAUUAGAUUUUUCUAUCACCUAGAAAUUUAGAGAGGUUGACAAAAUCGGAAGGAUUUAAAAAAAAAAAGAGUAAGAGGUGCGAGUUCAAACCAGACCCUCAAUGGGUUGAUAAGCUUGAGAAGACGACAAAAAACGAAGGCAAAGAAGCUCUGAUCACGGAAGCAGAGAAAGAGAGUCAGCUAUGAAGUGUGGAGUUGCAGAGAAGAAGAAACAUAGCAGCGGAGGAAGAGAGGGGCGCUGUUUGUUUGGCACCUUACCCAAUUAAUCAUCUAAAUACUUGUUUGGCAAAACAAAAAUUAUAAUGCGGUGAGCGUGGAUCGAACACGCGACCUUCAGAUCUUCAGUCUGACGCUCUCCCAACUGAGCUAUCCCCGCAGAUACAACGUAGCUGAGCUAUCCCAGAAGAUGUAGCAUAUCCGCUUUUGCCUGGAAUUGUUUUACAAACAAACAGAUCACAAAGUAAAGAAAUUGAUAAAACAAUAUGCUAACAUUUAAGCGAUCUUAAAUCUUAAUGCAUCAUCUUUCAAAGAAAAUGCAGGUUGAAAGGAUCUAAAAGAAGAGAGUACCAAAGAGAUGAGAGUUUAAACAAGAGAUUGAAUGAGCUUUGUGCAUUUUUGCAGCUACUUCAAUGUUAACAAUGCUGGAUCACUUGCGAAGCCGACGAAAAUGAAAUCAAAGAAGCUCCGAGCAUAGAAGGAGAGAAAAAGAGAUCGGCUCUGAAAGUGUAAAGUUGCAGAGAAAAAGAAGAUGGUGGACGAAUAGGCGAAAAUGGCGCCACUGAAAUGUGUUUGACGCUUUAUCAAAUUAAUCAAAUAUUUGUUUCGCAAACUAAAAUUAUUUUCCCGCUUUAUUACAUCUUAUUUUUUAAUUUUUUUUUUGUUUUUUGUGAUAUUCGAAUAGCUUCAACUAAAUUCAAAAUCGAAAUAACUAACGAGUACAAAUCAAUUCACUCGAUUGCACAUCCUCUUGCAUUGACAAUAAUAUUCAUGUCAAUCGAGUUAAGACUCAAUCAACCACCAUCAAGUCUAUUUUUGAAUGAGAUAAAACAAAAAGAAAUGGAGAGAAAAAAAAUUGAGUUCAAUUUGAUUUUUUAAAAUCGGUUCCAUUAUAAUUUAAAUGUGUUUAAUUCAAUUUGAUUUUUGAUUUACUAGUUAAAAAAUUUAAUUAGCGUAACUGAAUCAAU
Molecule: long non-coding RNA, 10468 nt
Filed under: Gossypium barbadense (sea-island cotton)
Lineage: Eukaryota; Viridiplantae; Streptophyta; Magnoliopsida; Malvales; Malvaceae
Description: long non-coding RNA (GBAR_LNC016827)
Source: RNAcentral